RNAcentral lists this small RNA (16 nucleotides) under Arabidopsis thaliana (thale cress). RNAcentral describes it as "ATSL238050". Lineage: Eukaryota; Viridiplantae; Streptophyta; Magnoliopsida; Brassicales; Brassicaceae. The record is from RNAcentral.
CGUUACUCGGCUUGGU